CUCUUACAUCGUUUUCUCAUAUUAUCCACUCUAAGGUAUUUGCUUUGGGCCAAAAUCGAAAUAAAAACCUACAAUUUAUAAAGGAUUUUACAUUUCCAUAUUUCCUUUAAAAAAGGCUGAUUACACCUUAUUCGAUCAUGGAACAAUAUAUUAUGCUGACCUUACUGAAAAAACACCAUCAGGUUCCAAAUCCCAAAUUGCAACAUCCUCUUUUGAGCAUGAGAUAAAUAACUCCCCCAAAAUAUUUUGCAACUCCAUAUAUUGAUCGAUGGCCACUGCCUACUUCAUGCACAAUAGCCAUUUGUUG
This 307-nucleotide long non-coding RNA is filed under the name Amborella trichopoda. RNAcentral's name for it is "long non-coding RNA (ATRI_LNC004090)". Lineage: Eukaryota; Viridiplantae; Streptophyta; Magnoliopsida; Amborellales; Amborellaceae. The record is from RNAcentral.